This 439-nucleotide ribosomal RNA is filed under the name uncultured Eubacteriales bacterium. Its description in RNAcentral is "bacterial SSU rRNA". It matches the Rfam family "Bacterial small subunit ribosomal RNA", at positions 338 to 795 of the family's 1533-position model. The record is from RNAcentral. Lineage: Bacteria; Bacillati; Bacillota; Clostridia; Eubacteriales.
CCUACGGGAGGCAGCAGUCGGGAAUAUUGCACAAUGGAGGAAACUCUGAUGCAGUGACACCGCGUAUAGGAAGAAGGUCUUAGGAUUGUAAGCUAUUGUCGUGUGAGAAGAAAAUGACCAUCACAGGAGGAAGCCCUGGCUAAAUAUGUGCCAGCAGCCGCGGUAAUACAUAUGGGGCGAGCGUUAUCCGGAUUUAUUGGGUGUAAAGGGUGCGUAGGCGGGAAAAUAAGUCAGUAUGUGAAAUCCCUCGGCUCAACUGAGGAACUGCAACUGAAACUAUUUUUCUUGAGUGUUGAAGGGGAAAGUGGAAUUCCUAGUGUAGCGGUGAAAUGCGUAGAGAUUAGGAGGAACACCAGUGGCGAAGGCGACUUUCUGGGCAACAACUGACGCUGAGGCACGAAAGUGUGGGGAGCAAACAGGAUUAGAUACCCGGGUAGUC